AAUAGCUUCCCCAUGAGUAGCCGAGGCAGAGCCUCCUCAGAGAGGUGUCAUGCACAGGGAGCAUGGUAAGAGAAAGGAAAGUAGACAGCAGUGACACAGCAAUGCAAGGAGACAGAAGGUGACUCCAUUGACUUUGGCCUGACCCUGACUGUGAGUGAACAGCGAUGUGGCCGAUGAGCUAAUCUGAGGGAAAACAAAAGCUGAGAGAAGACAACUAUAAGCUUGGAUGUGUUCGGGGCAUCUGGAGAGGCGGCCCAUGUAAGGCCAGGUCCGGCAUUCGUGAUCCAGGAUGAAGACGGGAAAGGAUUCAGCCAUUCACAGUGACACAGAGGUCUCAGAG
Molecule: long non-coding RNA, 340 nt
Filed under: Mus spicilegus (steppe mouse)
Lineage: Eukaryota; Metazoa; Chordata; Mammalia; Rodentia; Muridae
Description: lncRNA (ENSMSIG00000003839.1)
Source: RNAcentral